RNAcentral lists this long non-coding RNA (560 nucleotides) under Trifolium pratense (red clover). Its description in RNAcentral is "long non-coding RNA (TPRA_LNC006444)". Lineage: Eukaryota; Viridiplantae; Streptophyta; Magnoliopsida; Fabales; Fabaceae. The record is from RNAcentral.
UUAUUCGUGUUAUAACACCCCAUAUUGAUUUAUCUAGAAUAACAAUAGGAGCAUACAUAACUAAAUUAGGAUACAUUAAAAUUUUGCGGAAUAAAUUGGGUUCUCCACAAGAUAGUAUGAGGAAAAUACCAACAUUACAUGGUUUAACUAAACUGAAUAGACUGUCAUAAUGUAAGUGUUAACAACUUUACAUUAGAACCAUGGUAACUGAUAAAUACAUGUACAUGUGGCAUAUUCCUAUAUAAUAGUUUCUUAAACUGGAAGGUAAUCAUGAACAGAUUUCUAUAAUCUCGCCGAUUCGUCCAGUCCUCAGCUUCUUGAACGAACAACCUGUUACCUAUAAUCAAUAAUCGUGGGGUGAGACUACUAAGCCUCAGUGAAUUUCUUACUACCCACAACUUGGUGUGCUAACACCGGGGUCCUGAAAAUAGCUGAUCACUGAUAAACAUAUAUUCAUUAAAGAAUAACAUAACAUAAAUAAAGGUGUAUCACACAAUUAUAAUCUUAUUCAUUUUACAGGAAGCUUUCGAGGUGAGUAUGUCUCGAAAGAUCCACUAAGG